CUGUUGCUAGUGUGCUGUCCUCAUCGCCUCCCUACUGGAUAACAUCAUAAUACAACAUGGUUAUUGUGGGGUUUGUAGGGCUUCGGCCAGAUUUGCCAACUGCCACUAGGAGACCACACUACCCCACAUGCAAUUUCCCAUUGAUGCUCCUAACUCACAAAUCUCUCCUGCUUUUUCCCUAUUUAUAUAGGGCAUGACUGCAUUCAUGGCAAGAGACAUUCAUACUUUAAGAAACUUAUCAAGGCUCUUGCAAAAAACACACUAGACAAAACCCUCUUUAAAGUUCUAGUUUCGGUAUAGCCCAAAGAAGGAACUUCUUGUUUGAGGAGGCAUGGAGGGAGCCCAAGUAGCUGUUGAGCUAGAAGAUGAUCUGUUUUUUGCUGACUUAAGCAAGCAAAUCUCUCUGCUAAUCAUGGAUGACGAUGAGGAUCCAGUUGCAAAGUGCCCUUCUGUUUCUUUCCAGGCUUUUUCAAGAGCAAAUUAUCCAGUAGCACCAUCCCCAUUUCUUCAUGGACAAAACUGCAGAAAAGAAAGCAAAGGCACAGGAGUUUUUAUUCCGCAGUCAUCACAGCCAAGAAGGAAGCAUAAGCAAGGAAGAUUCAGUUCAUUCAACAGAAAGUCUAACAGGCAACCUACAUGAUAACUCAACAUUAAUGGUUUCUCUGGCAGUUUGCAACGAUUCUUUUUACUCCAGGAGAAAGGCAGGGAUACAUCUUUGUCAAGUGUAUAAUUUUUAAAAAGAAUUACUACUCAUUCUCCUUUUGUCAAAAGCUGCUGAGGCAGGGUAGGCUGAAUGAUUUAUGAUCUAUAUAUCAGAUAAUAUGCACAUGAAUAACAAUAAUUGAUCCUGCCCCUUAGUUAGGGGUCUUGAGGAGGUUAACUAAAGGGUUGUGCCUCCCUAUAUCAUGGAAAUGUAUGGUGGUUUAUAUGUAAUAAGAGUGAUUUCAGAAAAUUUUGGUUUGUUCA
Non-coding RNA from Theobroma cacao (cacao), 966 nucleotides. The record is from RefSeq and is a predicted model, not a curated record. Lineage: Eukaryota; Viridiplantae; Streptophyta; Magnoliopsida; Malvales; Malvaceae.